UUCCCUGGAACGGGACGCCGCAGAGGGUGAGAGCCCCGUCUGGCUGGCCACCGAGCCUCUGUAAAGCUCCUUCGACGAGUCGAGUAGUUUGGGAAUGCUGNUNAAAAUGGGAGGUAUAUGUCUUCUAAAGCUAAAUAUUGGCCAGAGACCGAUAGCGCACAAGUAGAGUGAUCGAAAGAUGAAAAGCACCUUGAAAAGAGGGUUAAACAGUACGUGAAAUUGUUGAAAGGGAAGCGCUUGUGACCAGACUUGGGCGCGGCGGAUCAUCCGGGGUUCUCCCCGGUGCACUUCGCCGUGUUCAGGCCACCAUCAGUUCGGCGGGGGGGAAAAAGGCUUCGGGAACGUGGCUCCUCCGGGAGUGUUAUAGCCCGUUGCAUAAUACCCUGCGCUGGACUGAGGACCGCGCAUCUGCAAGGAUGCUGGCGUAAUGGUCACCAGCGACCCGUCUUGAAACACGGACCAAGGAGUCUUUCUUCCUAUGCGAGUGUUCGGGGGUCU
This 498-nucleotide ribosomal RNA is filed under the name soil fungal sp. DM2-062. RNAcentral's name for it is "eukaryotic LSU rRNA". It matches the Rfam family "Eukaryotic large subunit ribosomal RNA", at positions 186 to 703 of the family's 3401-position model. The record is from RNAcentral. Lineage: Eukaryota; Fungi.